CUCGGGGAGAGUUGUGGGGGGAGGGGCCGGCGCUCCCCACCGCCCUUCGUUCCCUCCAGGGCUGCCCCAACGCCACCGGGGAGGCCUGGCCGAGCCCGAAACCGCCGCGUACCUCAGGGAGGGCCGCUGCCGUCGCUGCCGGGGCCUCGCGCUGGCUGCGUCUCGCGCUCGGGCUCCCGCCUCCCCUCAGCCGGGCCCGGCCCCCCCACAGCCUCCGCCCGCCCCGCGCACCGAGAUCUCGCGAGACCUGAGGGGAGGAGACUCCGCCCUGGGCACCAAUGGCGGAGCGUGGUAGGCGGGGCUUCGCUGUAGAGGGCGGGGCUUGCGUAUGGGCGGUGCUCUUGGCCACGCCCCCGCCCGCGGGGCUGCUCUGCCCGCAGCGGCGACAGCGACACGGAGAUGUCGCGACAGAGCACCGCAGAGCACUGGGAGGACUGGGCCACGCUGGGCUCUGCAGGAAGGGUUGAGGAGGUGCAGCAGGACACCCCUGGGGGAACCGGGGACGUGGCCGUGACAGCCCCAACCAGUGAGAGGCUGAGCCCAGGCCAUGUCCCCAGGGCUGCCGCACAGCCGGUGCUGCUCAGUGGGACGUCCCUGGGGGGGCACACACGGGGCUGACUCAACAUGGACCGACGCCCUGCGGGCUCCUGGCUGUGCCCAGCAGGAUCACUGGUGCCUCCAUCCUCACGGGGACACAGCUGAGAGCCCAGGGGACAGGAGGACUCAGCACCUGGUGUCCUCUCUGGGGACACUGUCACCCACCGGGCACCCAGUGGGGCUGUGCUGUGUCCCCAGGCCAGCCAAGUGACAAGGUCUGGGGCCGCCAAGGAGGCACGAGGACACAGGGCCAUUAUCCAACCGUGUUUAUUCCCCCCAUCAGUUGGGGAGAGGGUAAGGAGCAGGGCUCGCCCUGCCCCACGCCGGACAUUCACAGCUGUGCCCGGGGCGCAGGCACUGUCACCGUCACCGCGUCACUGCCACUGGCUCUGUCACAUGGCAAAGAGGAUGAGGAAGGCCACCAUGAGGCAGAAGAGCCCCAUGGCCUCAGAGAGGGCGAAGCCCAGGAUGGCAUAGGAGAAGAGCUGCUGCUUCAGUGAGGGGUUCCUGGCGUAGCCGAUGAUGAGGCUGCCGAAGACGGUGCCAAUGCCGGCCCCAGAGCCGGCCACCCCCACAGUGGCUGCACCAGCACCGAUGAAUUUGGCAGCAGUGUCGAUGUCCCUGCGGGCCACGCUCGUCACGAUGGUCCUACGGGCACUCGGGUGCACCUGCUCCAUCCGUGCAUUGGAUAUGCUGAGCAGGGAGGCUGAGAGAGGCUGGCACAGCACCCGCGGGCUCCUCCACACCAGCGCAGGAACAGUGACGAACUUUGUACAGGCGUACAUGGUGAGGGAAGAGGGACACACGUGUGGGACACAGCUGGCGCACCGGCAGCGGGCAAACCGCGGGGGCUCCGAGUGCGCAGGCGCGCC
This 1469-nucleotide long non-coding RNA is filed under the name Gallus gallus (chicken). The record is from RNAcentral. Lineage: Eukaryota; Metazoa; Chordata; Aves; Galliformes; Phasianidae.